GACGAACGCUGGCGGCGUGCUUAACACAUGCAAGUCGAACGGAAAGGCCCUGCUUUUGUGGGGUGCUCGAGUGGCGAACGGGUGAGUAACACGUGAUUAACCUGCCCUUGACUUUGGGAUAACUUCAGGAAACUGGUGCUAAUACCGGAUAGUAGCUCCUGCUGCAUGGUGGUGGUUGGAAAGUUUCGGCGGUUGGGGAUGGACUCGCGGCUUAUCAGCUUGUUGGUGGGGUAGUGGCUUACCAAGGCUUUGACGGGUAGCCGGCCUGAGAGGGUGACCGGCCACAUUGGGACUGAGAUACGGCCCAGACUCCUACGGGAGGCAGCAGUGGGGAAUAUUGCACAAUGGGCGGAAGCCUGAUGCAGCAACGCCGCGUGCGGGAUGACGGCCUUCGGGUUGUAAACCGCUUUCGCCUGUGACGAAGCGUGAGUGACGGUAAUGGGUAAAGAAGCACCGGCUAACUACGUG
This 468-nucleotide ribosomal RNA is filed under the name uncultured bacterium. Its description in RNAcentral is "partial 16S ribosomal RNA". It matches the Rfam family "Bacterial small subunit ribosomal RNA", at positions 28 to 507 of the family's 1533-position model. The record is from RNAcentral.